AGGACGACGCUGGCGGCGUGCCUAACACAUGCAAGUCGAGCGGGGACAUGCGACGGAAGCGAAGUUUCGGAUGGAGCGGAAGAUGCAUGUUCUAGCGGCGGACGGGUGAGUAACGCGUGAGCAACCCGUCCCUUACAGGGGGAUAACACAGCGAAAGUUGUACUAAUACCGCAUAAGACCACGGGAGGACAUCCUUCAGGGGUCAAAGGAGUAAUCCGGUAAGGGGUGGGCUCGCGUCCGAUUAGAUAGUUGGUGAGGUAACGGCCCACCAAGUCGACGAUCGGUAGCCGACCUGAGAGGGUGAUCGGCCACAUUGGGACUGAGACACGGCCCAAACUCCUACGGGAGGCAGCAGUGGGGAAUAUUGGGCAAUGGGGGGAAACCCCCUGACCCAGCAACGCCGCGUGAGGGAAGAAGGUUUUCGGAUCGUAAACCUCUGUCCUUGGUGAAGAGAGAGAGACGGUAGCCAAGGAGGAAGCCCCGGCUAACUACGUGCCAGCCGCGGC
Molecule: ribosomal RNA, 506 nt
Filed under: uncultured bacterium
Lineage: Bacteria
Description: bacterial SSU rRNA
Rfam family: Bacterial small subunit ribosomal RNA
Source: RNAcentral